AGAAGAGAAUUGGUGAGAGGACUACCUCAUCUGGAAUUCAAUAUGGAUGAAGAUUAUGAGGUAUGUCAAUAGGGAAGUCGAAGGAGCAUCGCACAGAAGCAAAGAUAUGAUUAACAUUAUUGAUCCGCUUCAGAUGAUACGUAUGGAUUUCUACGGAUCAGUUAAUGUCAUGUCUGCAAACAAAGCCAGAUAUCUUUUUGCGAUGAUCAUUGACUACUCUAGAUUCUUUCGUGUUGGUCGUAUGUGUUCGAAGGACAAGACGUCACAAAUGAAGGUUGAUCAAGAUGAACCCUGAUCAUUGAUAAAUCCAGAAAGACACCAUUCUUGUCAGUGGCCAAUCAGAAGCAAACACUAACUCUUGGUAUGUGUUUGGAGGAAAAUGCCUCUUUGCAAGUCUUGCAUUUGAAGAUCAAAGAAUAUUUUCCUCGGCUACUCUAUGGAGUCUACAAUCUACAGGGUGAUUGUGAUUGAUCAAUAGAAGGUGAUUGUAAGUCUAAACGGGAUGUUGAACGACACUUUGCUCCAAGCUGUUUAAGGUGAUAUUAUUGGUAUAAUAAUGAUUCAGAUCCAAGCAGAAUCUCUUUGCAAGGAUAAGGAUUAUUAAAGAAAUCCCAGCAACAGCUUAGGGGGAGCAUUUGGUGGAUCCACUAGUCAA
This 655-nucleotide long non-coding RNA is filed under the name Daucus carota (carrot). RNAcentral describes it as "long non-coding RNA (DCAR_LNC002143)". Lineage: Eukaryota; Viridiplantae; Streptophyta; Magnoliopsida; Apiales; Apiaceae. The record is from RNAcentral.